AUUGAACGCUGGCGGCAUGCCUUACACAUGCAAGUCGAACGGUAACAGGUCUUCGGAUGCUGACGAGUGGCGAACGGGUGAGUAAUACAUCGGAACGUGCCCGAUCGUGGGGGAUAACGAAGCGAAAGCUUUGCUAAUACCGCAUAAGAUCUACGGAUGAAAGCAGGGGACCGCAAGGCCUUGCGCGAACGGAGAGGCCGAUGGGCGAUGAGGUAGGUGGUGGGAUAAAAGUUUACCAAGCCGACGAACUGUAGCUGGUCUGAGAGGACGAACAGCCACAUCGGGGGUUGACCAGCGCCCCGGGGACUGAGGGAGGGAGCCGUGGGGUAUUGUGGGAAAUGGGGGGAAACCUUGAACAACCGUGGCGAGUGUGAGGUAGAAGCCCUGCGGGUUGGAACUGGUUUUUUACGGAACAAAAAGAUUUUAGUUGAGAACUAGGGUACAUGACGGUACCGUAAGAAUAAGCACCGGCUAACUACGUG
This 482-nucleotide ribosomal RNA is filed under the name uncultured bacterium. RNAcentral's name for it is "partial 16S ribosomal RNA". It matches the Rfam family "Bacterial small subunit ribosomal RNA", at positions 29 to 507 of the family's 1533-position model. The record is from RNAcentral.